This 157-nucleotide ribosomal RNA is filed under the name Bipolaris heveae. Its description in RNAcentral is "5.8S ribosomal RNA". It matches the Rfam family "5.8S ribosomal RNA". Rfam says of the family: 5.8S ribosomal RNA (5.8S rRNA) is a component of the large subunit of the eukaryotic ribosome. It is transcribed by RNA polymerase I as part of the 45S precursor that also contains 18S and 28S rRNA. Lineage: Eukaryota; Fungi; Ascomycota; Dothideomycetes; Pleosporales; Pleosporaceae. The record is from RNAcentral.
UUAUUACAACUUUCAACAACGGAUCUCUUGGUUCUGGCAUCGAUGAAGAACGCAGCGAAAUGCGAUACGUAGUGUGAAUUGCAGAAUUCAGUGAAUCAUCGAAUCUUUGAACGCACAUUGCGCCCUUUGGUAUUCCAAAGGGCAUGCCUGUUCGAGC